This 460-nucleotide ribosomal RNA is filed under the name uncultured bacterium. RNAcentral describes it as "partial 16S ribosomal RNA". It matches the Rfam family "Bacterial small subunit ribosomal RNA", at positions 338 to 795 of the family's 1533-position model. The record is from RNAcentral.
CCUACGGGAGGCUGCAGUGAGGAAUAUUGGUCAAUGGGCGCGAGCCUGAACCAGCCAAGUAGCGUGAAGGAUGACUGCCCUACGGGUUGUAAACUUCUUUUAUAAAGGAAUAAAGUGAGGCACGUGUGCCUUUUUGUAUGUACUUUAUGAAUAAGGCUCGGGCAAAUUCGGGCCCACAGCCGCGGGAAAUCGGAGGAUCCGAGCGUUAUCCGGAUUUUUUGGGUUUAAAGGGAGGCUAAGUGGGUUGUUAAGUCAGUUGUGAAAGUUUGCGGCUCAACCGUAAAAGUGCAAUUGAUACUGGCAGCCUUGAGUACAGUUGAGGUAGGCGGAAUUCGUGGUGUAGCGGUGAAAUGCUUAGAUAUCACGAAGAACUCCGAUUGCGAAGGCAGCUUACUAAACUGCCACUGACAUUGAUGCUCGAAAGUGUGGGUAUCAAACAGGAUUAGAUACCCCGGUAGUC